RNAcentral lists this ribosomal RNA (459 nucleotides) under uncultured Caryophanaceae bacterium. RNAcentral describes it as "uncultured Planococcaceae bacterium partial 16S ribosomal RNA". It matches the Rfam family "Bacterial small subunit ribosomal RNA", at positions 341 to 792 of the family's 1533-position model. Lineage: Bacteria; Bacillati; Bacillota; Bacilli; Caryophanales; Caryophanaceae. The record is from RNAcentral.
ACGGAAGGCAGCAGUAGGGAAUCUUCCACAAUGGACGAAAGUCUGAUGGAGCAACGCCGCGUGAGUGAUGAAGGUUUUCGGAUCGUAAAACUCUGUUGUAAGGGAAGAACAAGUGCGUUAGGUAAUGAACGCACCUUGACGGUACCUUAUCAGAAAGCCACGGCUAACUACGUGCCAGCAGCCGCGGUAAUACGUAGGUGGCAAGCGUUGUCCGGAUUUAUUGGGCGUAAAGCGCGCGCAGGUGGUUUCUUAAGUCUGAUGUGAAAGCCCCCGGCUCAACCGGGGAGGGUCAUUGGAAACUGGGAGACUUGAGUGCAGAAGAGGAUAGUGGAAUUCCAAGUGUAGCGGUGAAAUGCGUAGAGAUUUGGAGGAACACCAGUGGCGAAGGCGACUGUCUGGUCUGUAACUGACACUGAGGCGCGAAAGCGUGGGGAGCAAACAGGAUUAGAUACCCUGGUA